RNAcentral lists this ribosomal RNA (727 nucleotides) under Trueperella pyogenes. RNAcentral describes it as "bacterial LSU rRNA". It matches the Rfam family "Bacterial large subunit ribosomal RNA", at positions 1979 to 2706 of the family's 2925-position model. Lineage: Bacteria; Bacillati; Actinomycetota; Actinomycetes; Actinomycetales; Actinomycetaceae. The record is from RNAcentral.
AGUUCCGACCUGCACGAAUGGCGUAACGACUUCUCCACUGUCUCAACCGCGAACUCGGUGAAAUUGCAUUACGAGUAAAGAUGCUCGUUACGCGCAGCAGGACGGAAAGACCCCGGGACCUUUACUAUAGCUUGGUAUUGGUGUUUGGUACGGUUUGUGUAGGAUAGGUGGGAGACUGUGAAGCCGUCACGCUAGUGGGGGUGGAGUCAUUGUUGAAAUACCACUCUGAUCGUGCUGGAUGUCUAACCUUGGACCAUGAUCUGGUUCAGGGACAGUGCCUGGUGGGUAGUUUAACUGGGGCGGUUGCCUCCUAAAUGGUAACGGAGGCGCUCAAAGGUUCCCUCAGCCUGGUUGGUAAUCAGGUGGCGAGUGUAAGUGCACAAGGGAGCUUGACUGUGAGACUGACAAGUCGAGCAGGUACGAAAGUAGGAACUAGUGAUCCGGCGGUGGCUUGUGGAAGCGCCGUCGCUCAACGGAUAAAAGGUACCCCGGGGAUAACAGGCUGAUCCUGCCCAAGAGUUCAUAUCGACGGCAUGGUUUGGCACCUCGAUGUCGGCUCGUCGCAUCCUGGGGCUGGAGUAGGUCCCAAGGGUUGGGCUGUUCGCCCAUUAAAGCGGUACGCGAGCUGGGUUCAGAACGUCGUGAGACAGUUCGGUCCCUAUCCGCUGCGCGCGUUGGAAACGUGAGAAGGGCUGUCCCUAGUACGAGAGGACCGGGACGGACGAAC